This 281-nucleotide long non-coding RNA is filed under the name Ananas comosus (pineapple). RNAcentral's name for it is "long non-coding RNA (ACOM_LNC043070)". Lineage: Eukaryota; Viridiplantae; Streptophyta; Magnoliopsida; Poales; Bromeliaceae. The record is from RNAcentral.
CACAACAAUACGAUCAUCGCCGGAUAAUCGUACGAAUCCGGGUUCCCGGAAGUGUCUAUUUCGACACCGGAACCCUCCGUCGCUCACCUAUCAUCAUCAAACCUACAAAAUAAUGAUGGUGACCAGCCAACAAGGCUCAGCGACAAAACACAGAGCAAACAAACACCGUCGAAAAGAAUCCGAACCAAAAUCGCGUUUUUUCGACGAAUUUCGUCGAAAAACGCACCGAAAUCGACCUUUCGAUUUCCGCGGGAGCUAACGGAUCAUGGACAAUCAGUCCA